GUGUUUUGGAGCUAUUGGUGCUCA
Molecule: non-coding RNA, 24 nt
Filed under: Arabidopsis thaliana (thale cress)
Lineage: Eukaryota; Viridiplantae; Streptophyta; Magnoliopsida; Brassicales; Brassicaceae
Source: RNAcentral